This 573-nucleotide ribosomal RNA is filed under the name Proteus mirabilis. RNAcentral's name for it is "partial 23S ribosomal RNA". It matches the Rfam family "Bacterial large subunit ribosomal RNA", at positions 667 to 1237 of the family's 2925-position model. Lineage: Bacteria; Pseudomonadati; Pseudomonadota; Gammaproteobacteria; Enterobacterales; Morganellaceae. The record is from RNAcentral.
CGUAGGGAAACCGAGUCUUAACUGGGCGAAUGAGUUGCAGGGUAUAGACCCGAAACCCGGUGAUCUAUCCAUGGGCAGGUUGAAGGUUGGGUAACACUAACUGGAGGACCGAACCGACUAAUGUUGAAAAAUUAGCGGAUGACUUGUGGAUGGGGGUGAAAGGCCAAUCAAACCGGGAGAUAGCUGGUUCUCCCCGAAAGCUAUUUAGGUAGCGCCUCGUGAACUCAUCUUCGGGGGUAGAGCACUGUUUCGACUAGGGGGUCAUCCCGACUUACCAACUCGAUGCAAACUGCGAAUACCGAAGAAUGUUAUCACGGGAGACACACGGCGGGUGCUAACGUCCGUCGUGAAGAGGGAAACAACCCAGACCGCCAGCUAAGGUCCCAAAGUCAUGGUUAAGUGGGAAACGAAGUGGGAAGGCUCAGACAGCCAGGAUGUUGGCUUAGAAGCAGCCAUCAUUUAAAGAAAGCGUAAUAGCUCACUGGUCGAGUCGGCCCGCGCGGAAGAUGUAACGGGGCUAAACCAUGCACCGAAGCUGCGGCAGCGACACAAAGUGUUGUUGGGUAGGGGAGC